Long non-coding RNA from Hippocampus zosterae (dwarf seahorse), 293 nucleotides. RefSeq lists it as uncharacterized. Lineage: Eukaryota; Metazoa; Chordata; Actinopteri; Syngnathiformes; Syngnathidae. The record is from RefSeq and is a predicted model, not a curated record. The transcript is spliced from 3 exons.
CGAUACAUACCAAGUGCCGAUACCUUGAGUUACUUUUGAUAUUUUAAAAUUUUAAUUCAACACAAGGAUGGAAAAAAAUGUGAACAAAGUUUUUUUUUUUUCCUUUUUUUUGGGAAGUAUCGGUGGCCAGUAUCCACACCCUCCGUCGAUUCUCCAUACAUACCAAGUGCCGAUACAUACCAAGUGCCGAUACCUUGAGUUACUUUUGAUAUUUUACAAUUUUAAUUCAACACAAGGCUGGAAAAAAUGUGAACAAAUUUUUUUUUUCAGUAUCGGCGGCUGGUAUCCACACA